GAGAGUAUAGCUCAGUGGUAGAGUCCAUGCUUAGCAUGCAUGACAUACUGGGUUCAAUUCCCAGUACCUUUG
RNAcentral lists this transfer RNA (72 nucleotides) under Camelus bactrianus (Bactrian camel). It matches the Rfam family "tRNA". From Rfam's summary of the family: Transfer RNA (tRNA) molecules are approximately 80 nucleotides in length. RNAcentral also lists the same sequence under 1 other name. The record is from Rfam by way of RNAcentral. Lineage: Eukaryota; Metazoa; Chordata; Mammalia; Artiodactyla; Camelidae.